RNAcentral lists this microRNA (21 nucleotides) under Homo sapiens (human). Its description in RNAcentral is "hsa-miR-6788-5p". The record is from miRBase by way of RNAcentral. Lineage: Eukaryota; Metazoa; Chordata; Mammalia; Primates; Hominidae.
CUGGGAGAAGAGUGGUGAAGA